RNAcentral lists this long non-coding RNA (623 nucleotides) under Cyanistes caeruleus (blue tit). Its description in RNAcentral is "lncRNA (ENSCCEG00000023683.1)". Lineage: Eukaryota; Metazoa; Chordata; Aves; Passeriformes; Paridae. The record is from RNAcentral.
GCGUCUUUCAGACCCAUCAUCAAGGUACUUGAGCAUAAGCUUCCUUCAAUGAUACAGGAGUGUCAUUGGCUUCAACAGCAUUACUGAAGUGUUGCAAGGUACAGGAAUGCUGAAGCACCUCACCAAACUGGAGUGGGAAAUACUGAUAAGAGAGCUGUUCCCACUCCAAGGGCUGCUUCCUUGCCUCCUUACACCUGUGUGAGCACACCAGCUGCAAGACAUGAUCUAGUAAUGACCCAGUGUCUGCCUGACCCUGCUGCUGCAGCUGGCUUUUACUGAAGCUGCCUUUCCAGGGCACUGUUCUUUGUGCAAAAGUGGAGCAAAAGAAGAAAUCUGGAGGUCCCUGACAGUACCAGCACAGGGAGGUUCUCAGCAUGGGGAGGAGAGAGAAGGGCUGGGGACAGGAUACCUGGAGCACUGUGCAGCUGGGAAAGACAAGGAAAGGGCAAUCCUGCACAUCCUGGCUCACACACACUCCCAGGUUUAGAACAUCAGAUGACUCUUAGCAGAUAUGAAAUGCUUCUGGAAGCCAAACAGUGGUUCUGUUCAUACCCUUUGGACCACCCUGCUGUAAGUUACCAAUCCUCGUUAAAACAGAGUAUAUAUUAUUUCUUUGUAGUCUG